RNAcentral lists this ribosomal RNA (481 nucleotides) under uncultured amoeba. RNAcentral's name for it is "SSU rRNA". It matches the Rfam family "Eukaryotic small subunit ribosomal RNA", at positions 706 to 1187 of the family's 1831-position model. The record is from RNAcentral.
ACAUAUAUUCCUAACGGUCCUCAUCCRCGAGGGUGAGGAAUCAACCGCUAGGAUMGUUUACUUUGAGGAAAUUAGAGUGUACAAAGCAGGCGUAACUCGCCUCMGAAUACGUUAGCAUGGGAUAAUGGAAUACGACUUCGGUCUUGUUUCGUUGGUUUCGCUUGGCUGAAGUAAUGAUUGAUAGGGACAGUUGGGGGCAUUAGUAUUUAGUUGUCAGAGGUGAAAUUCUAGGAUUUACUAAAGACUGACCAAUGCGAAAGCAUUUGCCAAGGAUGUUUUCAUUAAUCAAGAACGAAAGUAGGGGGAUCGAAGACGAUCAGAUACCGUCGUAGUCUCUACCGUAAACUAUGCCGACCAGGGAUCCGGAGAGUUUGCAUGGAUGACUCCCCGGGCACCUUGUGAGAAAUCAUAAGUGUUUGGGUUUUGGGGGGAGUAUGGUCGCAAGGCUGAAACUAAAGGAAUGACGAAGCACCCCAAUGUC